UUCUUAUCCAAGAUGUUUGUGAUAUACUUGAACAUUUUUAAUGUUACCGUUUAGUUGGAAAAUAUAUAUGGAAGGAUUUCGUCAAUGUAUUUUUUCCAUCAUCGUUUCAGUUAUUAUUAGUGGGGAACUUGUUGAGUUGUCUAAAAGUGACUUUAAAUCUCAUAUGCCAGCUGGUUAACUACUGUAUACAAAAUCUAAAAAUUGAUCAAGAAUCACAAUGAUUCUCAAUGAAAAUGGUGUAGGUGAAUUUUUGUGAAAAAGGGAAAGGAUUUAAUAGUAUCAUUGUAGGUGGAAGAAGGCUGCCCACCAAGUGAAUGAUAAAUUUUGAAUGAGAAUGUGGGCGUUGAAGAAUUUCAGCAACAUACGAAUUUUCUGAACUGUUCAUUCUUGACUUAAAAAUUACAAAGAUGCUAAAGAAAAUAGGAGUAAUAUUAACAGCUAACGGCAAUUUACCCUUAAAAUGGGUUUGAGACAUUUUACACACAAGGAGUCAUUGCAAGUUUGCAACAAUGCAGCCCACAUACAAGUCGAUUGGGAAUGCAGGCGGAAAAUUACUUCGUUAGACUUGCAGAUUACCAAAGACCGAAGUGAUAAUUGGGUUCUCAGUUCAAAAAUUUGGGCCGUUCGGAGUCGGAAAGUCGAGGGAAAGGCGUUCUUAUUGAUUGAUUGAGCGAGAUUUGAGACCAAAGUACCUCCUACCAGCCCCGAUAUCAGUGAGCAGUGAGUACGUGGAGACUUCAAGGUAUAUCUGCCAGCGUCCGCAGACCUCGGAGUCCCCCUCUACCUUUAGGAUGUUGUUUUUCAUUAUCUUCAUUAGACUCUGAUGUAUAAAGACAUUUAGCAUUUAUCUUAGAGCUUGUGAUUUAUUUUUACCGGGUUUUGGGAGUUGUAAUCAUUUUAAAUUGCAGUUUUAUUUAUUUCAGAUUUGGA
Molecule: non-coding RNA, 930 nt
Organism: Nicotiana tabacum (common tobacco)
Lineage: Eukaryota; Viridiplantae; Streptophyta; Magnoliopsida; Solanales; Solanaceae
Source: RefSeq, a predicted model, not a curated record